UGGUUUCUCUUCAGAUCGUAUAAAUCUUUCGCCUUUUACUAAAGAUUUCCGUGGAGAGGAACAAUUCUGAGUUUUUUACCCUAUUUUAGU
Molecule: non-coding RNA, 90 nt
Organism: Callorhinus ursinus (northern fur seal)
Lineage: Eukaryota; Metazoa; Chordata; Mammalia; Carnivora; Otariidae
Source: RefSeq, a predicted model, not a curated record